Molecule: ribosomal RNA, 491 nt
Filed under: uncultured bacterium
Lineage: Bacteria
Description: partial 16S ribosomal RNA
Rfam family: Bacterial small subunit ribosomal RNA
Source: RNAcentral
AUUGAACGCUGGCGGCAUGCUUUACACAUGCAAGUCGAACGGUAACAGGCCUUCGGGUGCUGACGAGUGGCGAACGGGUGAGUAAUGCAUCGGAACGUACCCAGAGGUGGGGGAUAACGCAGCGAAAGCUGUGCUAAUACCGCAUGUGAUCUGAGGAUGAAAGCGGGGGACCGAGCAGCAAUGUUUGGCCUCGCGCCUUUGGAGCGGCCGAUGUCGGAUUAGCUAGUUGGUGGGGUAAAGGCCUACCAAGGCGACGAUCCGUAGCUGGUCUGAGAGGACGACCCGCCCCACGGGGCCUGAGACCCGCCCCAGCCUCCUACGGGAGGCAGCAGUGGGGAAUUUUGGACAAGGGGCGGAAGCCUGCCCCACCACUGCCGGGGGGGGGAAGAAGGCCUUCGGUUUGUAACCCGUUUUUGGCAGGAACAAAACGGUGCCCGCUAACACCGGGCGCUAAUGCCGGUACCUGCAGAAUAAGCCCCGGCUAACUACGU